Non-coding RNA from Paramuricea clavata, 691 nucleotides. The record is from the annotation of a GenBank genome assembly. NCBI's taxonomy places the organism in Eukaryota, Metazoa, Cnidaria, Anthozoa, Malacalcyonacea, Plexauridae.
AGCAUACUUUGAGCUAUCUAACUGGUCGAAAUACAGUACCUAGCGUGUUUGUUGGUGGAAAGUUCAUUGGAGGAGGAACAGAAACUGAUGAACUACAUAAAUCUGGGAAACUGACAGAAAUACUUAAGACUAACAACAUUCUAUGAUAUUUUAUAAGUUAGGGGAAAUACAAAAUUUCAGAGACACCAACCUGGAGAAACGUGUCUGCAGUGUCUCACACACGAAGUCUUCACAUAAUUGUGGAAAAAUUUGUUCCACAAAAAACAGCUUGCUAUCGGUGGCAAACCCAAUAAAUUUGGAUAAACUGUGACUGUCUCAGUACGGCGUCAUCUUCCCAUGUCGAAUUGGAGCGGUUCAGUUGACUCUCCAUGGAACAGUUUACAUAGGAAAUCAGUGAAACCAAGUGUAACGUUCUCAAUUUGUAUCAAUCAAUGGCAAUCAAUUUCCUGUUCUACAAGCCUAGUCCUAUAGCUAUCUUCUAUUUUUCUUUUCCCACCCCAACACCAAAAAAGACGUCUUUGUUUCAGUCGCCUUUGCAGUAAAGUUGUGGACUUUAAAUCCUAUCCAGUCCUCGUUUUCGGCAUUAUAUAUUUAUAUAUCCUCUCUUCGUUCCAUCUAUAUGAUUGCUUUGUUUGUAACACGUGAUUGCUUUUGUAUUUGAAGUAAUAAGAGUGCAAUUUGAAAAAAAGCG